CCUACGGGAGGCAGCAGUGGGGAAUAUUGGACAAUGGGCGCAAGCCUGAUCCAGCCAUGCCGCGUGGGUGAUGAAGGCCCUAGGGUUGUAAAGCCCUUUCGGCGGGGAAGAUAAUGACGGUACCCGCAGAAGAAGCCCCGGCUAACUUCGUGCCAGCAGCCGCGGUAAU
This 169-nucleotide ribosomal RNA is filed under the name uncultured bacterium. RNAcentral describes it as "partial 16S ribosomal RNA". It matches the Rfam family "Bacterial small subunit ribosomal RNA", at positions 338 to 524 of the family's 1533-position model. RNAcentral also lists the same sequence under 3 other names. The record is from RNAcentral.